CCCCGCCCCGCCAACUGCAGGCAGCUUGUGCUACCCUUUGUAGUUUUACGGAAGGUGAAGACUAAGUUCACGCCCCCCCCCCCAGCCCCAAAGCACUCUGGGUGAGCAGCUACUCCUGUGGUUUCUCAUUGGCUCUCUCACUCUCAAAACAGCUCGUUCCCAGCCCCUCCAAGCAUUUCGUGGUCCACGUGACCAAUAGCAGCAAGAAGAAGUGGAGGUUUAUUGUCCGGCUGUACACAGCACAAGCAAGAAAGCAUGGUAUAGCAGAAAGGACUCUGGAAAGAGACUGCAGUCUGAGCUCUGGGGCUUUCUCUGAAUUCCCAUUCACCUUGGGAAUGACUCACAACUGUGUUUCAAUCUCUGCUCCAGCAAUUACAAGCUGUAGGAUCUUGGAGAAGUUACGAAUCAUCUCUGUGCUUCAUUUUGCUCAUCUAUUAACAGUCUAGUCGUAUAGCAGCUGCCUUGGGAGGCUGUUUGGAACUUUAAGUAAGUUCACAUUUGUUAAUCCUAGUGAAAGUGCCUGGCACACAGUAAGCCCUCCCUGAACGUUGCUACUAAACAACUUCCAGGUCCCUCCAACCCUUCUCACUCUUUUUCUCUUCUUCCUUCCUCUGUGCUAUUUGCCACAUGUUCCUUCUUAUGCAUUUUCUUUUGCAAUCAAUGAAUUAUUUUAAAUCAAAACCCUAGAAGUCAUUCUCUAAUUUUUUCAUUUUAUCAUUUUCACUGCCCCCUUGGUCUACCAAUUCUGACUCCUAAUGCAACCUUGCUAUUUAUGUUUUUUCACCAUAGCUUCAGCUCCACUUCACAUCUUUCUCAGGGCUUAUCAGCUCAUUGCAAAACCUGCUCUGGUCCCCUCCUUCCUCAACCCAUCCUUAUAAUUGCCACAAUAAUUACAUUUCUUUCUUUCUUUCUUUUUUUUUUUUGAGACGGAGUUUCGCUCUUGUUACCCAGGCUGGAGUGCAAUAGCGCGAUCUCAGCUCACCGCAACCUCCGCCUCCUGGGUUCGGGCAAUUCUCCUGCCUCAGCCUCCCGAGUAGCUGGGAUUACAAGCACACGCCACCAUGACCAGCUAAUUUUCUGUAUUUUUAGUAGAGACGGGGUUUCACCAUGUUGACCAGGAUGGUCUCGAUAUCUUGACCUUGUGAUGCACCUGCCUUGGCCUCCCAAAGUGCUGGGAUUACAGGCUUGAGCCACCGCACCCGGCCACAUUUCUUAAAUAAUAAUAUUUACUGUUUUAUUUUACUAACAUGACAUGGUACACCAUGCUAUGGACUUUGAAUUUU
This 1283-nucleotide long non-coding RNA is filed under the name Callithrix jacchus (white-tufted-ear marmoset). RNAcentral's name for it is "lncRNA (ENSCJAG00000081035.1)". The record is from RNAcentral. Lineage: Eukaryota; Metazoa; Chordata; Mammalia; Primates; Cebidae.